RNAcentral lists this ribosomal RNA (435 nucleotides) under uncultured Lachnospiraceae bacterium. RNAcentral's name for it is "bacterial SSU rRNA". It matches the Rfam family "Bacterial small subunit ribosomal RNA", at positions 341 to 792 of the family's 1533-position model. The record is from RNAcentral. Lineage: Bacteria; Bacillati; Bacillota; Clostridia; Lachnospirales; Lachnospiraceae.
ACGGAAGGCAGCAGUGGGGAAUAUUGGACAAUGGGGGAAACCCUGAUCCAGCGACGCCGCGUGAGUGAAGAAGUAUUUCGGUAUGUAAAGCUCUAUCAGCAGGGAAGAUGAUGACGGUACCUGACUAAGAAGCCCCGGCUAACUACGUGCCAGCAGCCGCGGUAAUACGUAGGGGGCAAGCGUUAUCCGGAUUUACUGGGUGUAAAGGGAGCGCAGGCGGUCCUGCAAGCCAGAGGUGAAAACCCGGGGCUCAACCCCGUGGAUUGCCUUUGGAACUGUAGGACUCGAGUACUGGAGGGGCAGGCGGAGUUCCUGGUGUAGCGGUGAAAUGCGUAGAUAUCAGGAGGAACACCGGUGGCGAAGGCGGCCUGCUGGACAGAAACUGACGCUGAGGCUCGAAAGCGUGGGGAGCAAACAGGAUUAGAUACCCUGGUA